UACAGAGGGGGCAAGCGUUAUUCGGAAUUAUUGGGCGUAAAGGGCGCGUAGGCGGCUUGGCAAGUGGAUGGUGAAAUCCCUCGGCUUAACCGAGGAACUGCCGUCCAAUCUGCUUCGCUUGAGACCGGGAGAGGUGAGUGGAAUUCCCAGUGUAGCGGUGAAAUGCGUAGAUAUUGGGAGGAACACCAGUGGCGAAGGCGGCUCACUGGACCGGUACUGACGCUGAUGCGCGAAAGCGUGGGGAGCAAACGGG
RNAcentral lists this ribosomal RNA (253 nucleotides) under uncultured bacterium. Its description in RNAcentral is "partial 16S ribosomal RNA". It matches the Rfam family "Bacterial small subunit ribosomal RNA", at positions 524 to 776 of the family's 1533-position model. The record is from RNAcentral.